This 970-nucleotide long non-coding RNA is filed under the name Bos indicus x Bos taurus (hybrid cattle). RNAcentral's name for it is "lncRNA (ENSBIXG00005015288.1)". The record is from RNAcentral. Lineage: Eukaryota; Metazoa; Chordata; Mammalia; Artiodactyla; Bovidae.
GUACAAACAGGCUUUAUGUACGCUUUUGUGCUUUGGCUCGACAUCUUGUACUUCUGAUGCUGGCGUGACAAGAACAUUCUCUGAGUGAUCACUGGUCCUCGUUAGAGAGACCUGGAGACCCACAGACUGAAGCAGGGCUGCUCCAGCCAACUUGCAGAACUGUACAGGAGAGAAGUGUCACUGCGAGCCGCUAAGACUCAAAGACGACUUGUUACACAGCACUAUUACUACAGCAGGAGGUUUGGAAGGCGGCCAGGGAAGAGUUUUAUUUAUGACAGUUGUGGGGAGACUUGGAUGCCACGUACGACAGAAGUCUAUGCUUCUUUGCUUUUCACUGAAGUCUGCAUAUCACUUUGCAGCUGGCGCAGUCACCUGCAGAGGUGCUCAGUUAUAAACCAAGCUGAACGGAAGAGCUUCGGCUGAAGAGCGGCCGUCUCCUGACAUACACCCCGCACCCCACCUCCCGUCCUGCACGCUCCUGGACAGCCUUUCUCAACAGUCCCUGCCUGAGCUGCUCCGGUGGCCGUGGCCGGAAGCCUAGACGGUGGUACGCUUCUUCCUCUGCUUCUUCACUUGUCCAGCUAGAGAGUGGCUACUGUCCUUGCUGGGGUCUGUGAGGGUUUAAUUGACUUACUCACCCUCUUCUCCGCCUCCCCCAGUGAGGGACAGGUAUGUUCUUUUUCUUACCUAAGUUGGUUCCCUGAAUGGCGGUUGGGGAGGGGUCUCUUAACACCAGGUGGGGCAUGCUGAAAGCUGGGCUUCCUGUGGGGGUGGGUGGGUGGUGCCCAGGUGCCCUGAAUCCCUGUUGGAGGUAGGCAAUUCUGGGGCACAAUCCCUCUGUCCUGAGGGCCCAGUGGUCUGCAGGGCAGAUGUUUCAUAACCAUCGCACGCCCAGUCCCCUUCUUGUUCCAGCCACCCACCCUCUCAAAGGCCAGGGGCUCCCCUGCUCCUCUGAAUCCUGUCUCCUUCA